CGGUACAAUCCAAAUUUGUCGAACAUCUCAUUCUGUGCUGGGAACACUGGGAGGCAGGAAGUUUGAAAAAAAACGGCCACUCCCGCCCGCAAUGUCUCGGUCGUGGUGCUUCGUGACAUCGGCUGUAUUGCGUGUUUUCGCCGACGGCUUACUACCACAAUGGCGGGAUCUGCGUUCGCCGCCUUCGUGUCUCGGUGCGUCUUUGUACGUCGCACGUUCGGAUAACACUUUUUCCGACGGCUGGACAUCCUUCUUGUACCUUGGCGCUAGCUGGAUGACGGGACCUCAUCAUGAUCAGUGUAUUGCUUUCCUAUGUCUACAAGAACCGUCACGGGUGGCCUGUGACAGCAAGCUUUUGUGGGCAGCCAGUGCUCUCCUACGAAGGCUGGCCUACUCUGGCAGCGGCGGCAAUCAUCUUCAAGAUUUAUCGAUGAUCACCUUUGUUGCUAUUUGUCACUCUUCUUAAUUACACUUUCUGCAUCUUUUCUAAUCUAUUAGGUAAUAAAGUAUGAGUAUGUGACAUGGUGUGAAGUUGAUGCCUUGCUGCAUUUUAGCUUGCAAUCACCUUUUAUGCAUGAAAAGCUCAUCAUACAAUUUAUGAAAAAAAAAUGACAGCAUAUUAUGAUUUAUCUUUCAGUAUCUUGUCACAUGCAACAUACAAGGUAUUCACUAAUGGAUGGUAUGCCGAAGAACUGGCCAUUAUUUCUGCGUGAUGCUGUGCA
Dermacentor albipictus is the source of this 722-nucleotide long non-coding RNA. RefSeq lists it as uncharacterized. The record is from RefSeq and is a predicted model, not a curated record. Lineage: Eukaryota; Metazoa; Arthropoda; Arachnida; Ixodida; Ixodidae.